UACUGAAAUAUGUUAAGAUUAGUGCUGC
Molecule: small RNA, 28 nt
Filed under: Bombyx mori (domestic silkworm)
Lineage: Eukaryota; Metazoa; Arthropoda; Insecta; Lepidoptera; Bombycidae
Description: ovarian small RNA-21437
Source: RNAcentral